GGCGAGUGAAGCGGCAACAGCUCAAAUUUGAAAUCUGGCCCCCGGGUCCGAGUUGUAAUUUGCAGAGGAUGCUUUUGGUGCGGUACCUUCCGAGUUCUCUGGAACGAGACGCCAUAGAGGGUGAGAGCCCCGUCUGGUUGGACGCCAAACCUUUGUAAAGCUCCUUCGACGAGUCGAGUAGUUUGGGAAUGCUGCUCUAAAUGGGAGGUAUAUGUCUUCUAAAGCUAAAUAUUGGCCAGAGACCGAUAGCGCACAAGUAGAGUGAUCGAAAGAUGAAAAGCACUUUGAAAAGAGAGUUAAAAAGUACGUGAAAUUGUUGAAAGGGAAGCGCUCAUGACCAGACUUGGGCCCGGUUGAUCAUCCAGGGUUCUCCCUGGUGCACUCUUCCGGCCCAGGCCAGCAUCAGUUCGCUGUGGGGGAUAAAGGCUUCGGGAAUGUGGCUCCCUCGGGAGUGUUAUAGCCCGUCGUGCAAUACCCUGCGGCGGACUGAGGUUCGCGCAUUCGCAAGGAUGCUGGCGUAAUGGUCAUCAGCGACCCGUCUUGAAACACGGACCAAGGAGUCGUCUUCGUAUGCGAGUGUUCGGGUGUCAAACCCCUACGCGUAAUGAAAGUGAACGCAGGUGAGAGCUUCGGCGCAUCAUCGACCGAUCCUGAUGUUCUCGGAUGGAUUUGAGUAAGAGCAUACGGGGCCGGACCCGAAAGAAGGUGAACUAUGCCUGUAUAGGGUGAAGCCAGAGGAAACUCUGGUGGAGGCUCGCAGCGGUUCUGACGUGCAAAUCGAUCGUCAAAUAUGGGCA
RNAcentral lists this ribosomal RNA (797 nucleotides) under Neonectria microconidia. Its description in RNAcentral is "eukaryotic LSU rRNA". It matches the Rfam family "Eukaryotic large subunit ribosomal RNA", at positions 88 to 917 of the family's 3401-position model. Lineage: Eukaryota; Fungi; Ascomycota; Sordariomycetes; Hypocreales; Nectriaceae. The record is from RNAcentral.